Molecule: long non-coding RNA, 763 nt
Organism: Perca flavescens (yellow perch)
Lineage: Eukaryota; Metazoa; Chordata; Actinopteri; Perciformes; Percidae
Exons: 3
Source: RefSeq, a predicted model, not a curated record
CUUGUUUUUGACUGCUCACCGGAGGAUAAUCAUGUAAAUGACUCAUACCUUUUAUUCUGGGUCACUUCUCUUGGGAGGGAAUAACAGGAACCACCCUUCACAAUAUUACUCACCUCUACAUCAGCUCAGGUCCGUUCCAUCCUGGACUGCCUGCUGUGAGUCCUUAUGCUUAGGUUGGCUGGUCUCCUUAAAGACUUCAUUUUCAAAAGAACAGGGUGGCCAGAUCUGGGAGAGAAACAAACAACACAGCCUUUCCAUAGAAGCCCAAAACAAGUCAGUUGGCGCAAGACAAAAUAUUAAUGACUCAUGGAAUUAAAAAUGUUGUCAUUCAAUACACAGGGCAACUCUUCAAGUUGUUUCGUUGUGGCGUAAGACACCUUUAAAUAAUAAAAGAAACAUAAUGUACAGUAAUGAAAUUGACUGCUAAUUUACAUGAACCAGUCUGAGCUGAUGACCUAUUCAAACUAUAGCCACUUUGGUGCCAUUCACAGUGACGGAGAAAUUGGUGUUCUCCUCAGAGAACCUGCACUGGGACAUGCCUGCAUGCAUCAGUAUGCAUUGUGUGGGCGGCUGUCAACACUAAACACUCAGACCAGACCAGCAUUGGGAGUGGGCAUGUAUAUCUAACUAUUAGCCUAAGCUCCUUAUGUCUGCCUGGUAAACUCAACUGUUUCUGCUUUUCUUGUUGCCAUGAAAUCUGUAUUGCAUGUAAACAUAAAAAUGUUGCUGCAUCACCAAAGAUGCAUAAUAGUGGGAGUGCCAU